Molecule: ribosomal RNA, 576 nt
Filed under: Triticum aestivum (bread wheat)
Lineage: Eukaryota; Viridiplantae; Streptophyta; Magnoliopsida; Poales; Poaceae
Description: partial small subunit ribosomal RNA
Source: RNAcentral
AUGUGCAGCCACUCCGGCGGGCGGCGGCGUUGCACGGCGACUCCAGCGGGUCCGGAGGCGCGGAGUCCCCAGCCACCAGGAAGCAACCGCAGGAGGCUCGGCUACUCCGGCACUACAGGCGCCGCUAUUGCCCCAGCAGCACGGGCCCGGCGGCGAAUCUGGCAAGCACGUGUGCCGCACCUCCGGCGACUAGUGUUCCUGUCCGACCAAACGGAUGAUGAGGCUCCCUCUGACUGGAAGUCCAGAAUGUGGACGAGAAGAAUUGAGCCUGAAGCAGUCGGCUCCAAAAGAACUCCCUCUGACUGGAUGUCCAGAAUGUGGAAGAGAAUGGUGAAGCAGUCAGCGACAUCUCUGAAUCCGGGCAAAUAUUCAGUGGAAUGCCCAAGGAAUGGCAAGGAUAUGAAGGUGAAAGACUGGCGUUUCUUCAUGUGGCUGGACAAGUACUUGGACAUGGUCGAGGAAAUUUGGAUGAUAAAUGUGCUCAUCAUGGGCAAUGCAUCUGCUCGCUGCGUGUCACGAGAAAUUCAGCGACGUAUUGAUGCUACGAGGGCUGAAAAUGAUGCUACAAGAGCCUAA